CUUUCCUUCAGUUCGGCUGGAUAGGUGACAGGUGCUGCAUGGCUGUCGUCAGCUCGUGUCGUGAGAUGUUGGGUUAAGUCCCGCAACGAGCGCAACCCUCGCCUUUAGUUGCCAGCAUUUGGUUGGGUACUCUAAAGGAACCGCCGGUGAUAAGCCGGAGGAAGGUGGGGAUGACGUCAAGUCCUCAUGGCCCUUACGCGUUGGGCUACACACGUGCUACAAUGGCGACUACAGUGGGCAGCCACCUCGCGAGAGGGAGCUAAUCUCCAAAAGUCGUCUCAGUUCGGAUCGUUCUCUGCAACUCGAGAGCGUGAAGGCGGAAUCGCUAGUAAUCGCGGAUCAGCAUGCCGCGGUGAAUACGUUCCCG
RNAcentral lists this ribosomal RNA (367 nucleotides) under Sphingobium yanoikuyae. RNAcentral describes it as "bacterial SSU rRNA". It matches the Rfam family "Bacterial small subunit ribosomal RNA", at positions 1008 to 1376 of the family's 1533-position model. Lineage: Bacteria; Pseudomonadati; Pseudomonadota; Alphaproteobacteria; Sphingomonadales; Sphingobiaceae. The record is from RNAcentral. RNAcentral also lists the same sequence under 1 other name.